CAGGGUGGACAGGGUGGGCCGCGCUCCAUCCUGAGAUUUCGGCCUGGCCUAUAUAGGAUGGCAUUUUCAGAGACGGGCCGAGUCAAAAAAAAUAAGCCCAUCAACAAGUGCGAGCUGAAACCAGACGAACAGGGCACAUCCUCUCCUCUCAGUCAUCUCUCCUCUGCAACCACGCACGGCCGCCACAUCUGGUCGAGUUCGAUCCGCCGCCAGCCAAGUCGCCCCUCGCCGUCGCCGGCCCACCGCUGGAUCCCGGACCUCCCUGACGGCUGACGCCCACCCGCCCCGGCUAGCUGCUGUCUGCACACGGCGCACGGCGCACCACCUCGCCCAGCCGCCCCUGACGGCUGCGCCGCUGCGGGCCGCGGCAUGCCUGCUCCUCCCAUCGCCCGGUCGCCCUGCGCAGCAGCGCACUGAGCAUCAGCGCUCCCGGACCAGGAGCAACCACUACGCAGCCGCCCUGCCCCUGCUAGCCGAGUAGCCGGAGUCGGCCAGUCGCCGACGGCGCCCAGUCCCCUUCUCCUGCACUCCCUUCCGAGAGAGAGGGAAUUUUUGAAGAAUGAAGAGGGCAGGAAACAUUGCUUCCCUUUUUGCGAGACAUGCUCAGAAGACAAGGAAGAAAGCUAGUACGCCAGAUGUGCAUGGGACCGCGGAUGUGGCCGAAGAGCAAACCAGAGAAUUUGUGGUUCAAGAGCAAACUUAAGAAACAGUGGUGUCUAUGUCAAAUGUCACGGUUGAGCAAACUCCGGAACCAAUGGUUCGACUUGAAGAUGUCUCAACGCCACCGCCGGUUUAUGAUUUUAGCCGUCUUAAACAUGAUCCCGGGGAAAGGCCACCCAUUGCAAGUUAUCCUGUCAAUGAUCAAGACGCAGUUCGGAGAGCAUAUAUCCUUAAGGCUGCAUUCAAACCUUAUGCACAUAACUUUGAAGCAAGAAGAAUUGGGAAUAGAUUUCAAUCAUUCAGUCCUUUUUGGCUUCAUAAACAUAGUUGGCUUGAAUAUAGUAUCAAGGAGAAAGCUGCAUUUUGCUUUGUAUGCUUCUUGUUCAAAGAGAAAAAAACUAGUGGGAAGGGAACUAAUGCAUUUACUGAUGGUGGUUGGAGAAAUUGGAAUAGAGAUGAUGCUCUUGAUAAGCAUGUUGGUGGUGUAACAAGUGUGCACAAUGCAGCUCAAGAGAAAUAUGACUUAUUUGUGAAUCCCCGUGCAACAAUUAAUGAUCUUCCUGUGAGGGUGGAUAGUGAGGAUCUACGUCUUUAUAGGAUGAGGUUGAAGUAUUCACUUAGAUGCUUGCAGUUCUUCUUCAUCAAGGAUUGGCAUUUCGUGGGCAUGAUGAAAGUGAACAAUCUAGCAACAGGGGAAACUUCAUUGAGCUAUUGAAGUGGCUUGCAACGAAUAGUGAGGAGGUGAAUAAGUAUGUCUUGAAGAAUGCACCAGGUAAUUGCAAAUUGACUUCUCACCAGAUACAAAAUCAGAUUAUUCAAUGUUGUGCAGUACAUACUAGAAAUCAAAUUAUUGAACAAGUUGGUGAUGAUCAUUAUGCUAUUCUAGCUGAUGAGUCUAGUGAUGUAUCACAUAAAGAACAACUAGCUCUAUGUUUGCGUUUUGUUGAUAAAGUAGGAAGGCUAAGUGAGCACUUUCUUGGAGUUGUUCAUGUAAGUGACACCACUGCAUUGUCACUUAAGGAAGCAAUUCAAACUUUACUUGCCAAUCAUGGUUUGACUAUAACUCAAAUUCGUGGGCAAGGUUGUGAUGGGGCUAGCAACAUGAGAGGAGAAAUUAAAGGACUGAAAACAUUGAUCAUGAAAGAGUCACCUUCUGCCUAUUACAUCCAUUGUUUUGCACAUCAACUCCAACUAGUUCUUGUUGCUGUUGCCAAGGGAAAUGAUGACUGUGUAUGGUUUUUUGAUCGAGUGUCUUUAUUGUUGAACAUUAUUGGAGUUUCUUGUAAGCGUCAUGACAUGCUUAGAGAUGCUAGACUUCAUAAUAUCAUGAAACUACUUGAAUGUGGUGAGUUACAAACUGGGAGUGGUCUGAAUCAAGAGAUGGGGUUACCUAGGCCUGGUGAUACUAGGUGGGGCUCUCAUUACAAAACUGUUCUCAACAUUAUUGCUAUGUACCCCACAAUUCGUGAUGUAAUCAUCACUCUUGGACAAGAUGCAUCACAAAGGAGUGAUUGGCCAAAAAUCCAUACUAUUGUUGGAGUGUUCGAGUCAUUUGACUUUAUUUUCAAUGCCCACUUGAUGCUUGUCAUUCUUGGAUACACAAGUGAUUUGUCUGAUUGUUUGCAAAGAAGAGACCAAGACAUUCUUUCUGCAAUGGCAAUGGUUAGAUUGGCAAAAGAUAGAAUACAAGAACUGAGGUCUAAUGGGUGGGAUGCAUUUCUUCAAAGAGUCACAUUAUUUUGUAACAAGCAUAGCAUUCAAGUUCCUACAAUGGAGGAUAAUUAUGUGCCUUAUGGAAGAUCAACACGGUUUGUUCGACCCCAAACAAAUGAUGAUCACUUUAGAAGAGAAGUAUUUCUUGGAGUAAUUGAUCAAAUUAGUCAAGAGCUUGAAAAUCGGUUUGACGAGAUCAAUAUGGAGUUGCUAUCUUGUAUGUCUGCUUUGAAUCCUGCCAACUCAUUUGCUGCUUUUGAUGCACACAAGGUACGCAAACUUGCUGAGUUCUAUCCAGAAGACUUUUCAAGUGCUGACUUGAUACACCUUGAACUACAACUUGGUAACUAUAUUGGUGACAUGAGAAAAGAUGAGAACUUUCAACAAGGCCUUGGAAAUCUUGUUGAUCUCUCAGUUAAGCUUGUUCAAACAGGGAGGCAUAUAGUUGAUAAUUUCGUGUACUUGCUUCUAAAAUUGGUAUUGAUUCUACCAGUGGCAACGACAAAUGUUGAGAGAGCAUUUUCUGCCAUGAGUUUAGUCAAAAACAAGUUGAGAAAUAAGAUGGGUGGUAGUCUUUUGGAUGAUUGCCUGGUCACAUACAUUGAGCGGGAUAUUUUCUCUAAGGUGAAUGAAGAUGACAUAAUUGAUACUUUCAUGGUCAUGCAGAAGUGUAGGCCGGAAACAUAGUCUUCUUUAAACUUGUCAAGGUAUGUAGUAUGUCUAUGUAGUCUUCUUUCAUGCGGAACUGGGAGUUUUAGUGUGUUUGUAAGACCAUAUUGAUCUAUUUCUAUGUUUUAUUGAUAAUUAGUUAGAUCGUUCACAUGUCAAAUUUGUUGUCAAAAAAUAGAUUUUUGGAAGCGGCCCACCCAGUUGUCAAAUGCUAGCUCCGCCACUGAUCUUGCCAGUAUGCUCAAAAAGAUGAAAAGAGACGGCUUUUGUUCUCUUCUUCUUUCUUCUGGUCCGGCGUCGUGGAUUCCAUUCGCCACGUUUGAAGUGAGCACGAGAAAAGGGGGAGCGAGUUGGUUCAGACUCCACGCCCGCUACGCACCGAGUCUGUUAGUCAGUUACCUCUCGCAGGCACCGCGUCCACGGCGCACACUCCCGCUGCCAGCGGGCCCUCCGCCAUAUCCCACCCGCAUCGGUCCACCGGUCCACCGUAGACCGCGCGCCAGGACGAGUCAGGUCCGACCCUGCCCCCAACCCCACUCCCUGCCAGCCGGCCAGCCGCGCGCGCUUCCCACGCCUCCAUCCAACCUGCACUUCCCACGCCACGCCCACCGACGCGUCGUCCCGCCUCAUGCCUGGGCCCGCAUGCAAGCGAAAGAAAGAACGAAAGGCGGUGAGGCGCAAAGAAAGAGCGAAAGAAUAAAUAAAAAGCCGCGCUACCGAACAAGAAAAAGCGCUGCGUGUGCGGGGGAAAACGAAAAGAAAUCACGGGGGAAAUUCGUCCUCGGCCCUCUUUUGUCUUCCUCCCCCGUUGCUCGGCUUGCUUGCUUGCUGCUGCAGGUGAGUGCUGGUGGAGACGAGAGCCGAGCCGGGGCGGAUCGGGGAGGAGGAAGGCGGCAGGGGGCAGAUCCGGCGGGCGGGGCGCGGCUUGUGCCUGCAAGAAGGUUGGUGAGGGGUUGGUUGGCGGGGAUGGAGCGGAAGGCGGUGGUGGUGUGCGCGCUCGUCGGAUUCCUCGGCGUCCUCUCCGCCGCGCUCGGCUUCGCCGCCGAGGGCACCCGCGUCAAGGUUUCGGAUGUGCAAACAGAUUCUUCUCCAGGUGAAUGCAUAUACCCGAGAAGCCCGGCGUUAGGCCUUGGGUUGAUGUCUGCCGUCGCCCUUAUGGUCGCACAGGCCAUUAUCAAUACAGUUGCUGGUUGCAUCUGUUGUAAGAGGCAUCCGGUUCCCUCAGACACUAACUGGAGUGUGGCUCUGAUCUCAUUCAUCGUAUCUUG
Triticum aestivum (bread wheat) is the source of this 4310-nucleotide RNA transcript. It is a transcript of the gene named protein MODIFYING WALL LIGNIN-1, with no coding region annotated. The transcript is spliced from 3 exons. NCBI's taxonomy places the organism in Eukaryota, Viridiplantae, Streptophyta, Magnoliopsida, Poales, Poaceae. The record is from RefSeq and is a predicted model, not a curated record.